CAGCCGCCGCGGUAAUACGGAGGGCGCGAGCGUUACCCGGAUUUACUGGGCGUAAAGGGCGUGUAGGCGGCCUGUGGCGUCCCAUGUGAAAGGCCACGGCUCAACCGUGGAGGAGCGUGGGAUACGCUCAGGCUAGAGGGUGGGAGAGGGUGGUGGAAUUCCCGGAGUAGCGGUGAAAUGCGCAGAUACCGGGAGGAACGCCGAUGGCGAAGGCAGCCACCUGGUCCACUUCUGACGCUGAGGCGCGAAAGCGUGGGGAGCAAACCGGAUUAGAUACCCCUGUAGUCCCUGUCUCUUAUAC
RNAcentral lists this ribosomal RNA (301 nucleotides) under uncultured bacterium. RNAcentral describes it as "partial 16S ribosomal RNA". It matches the Rfam family "Bacterial small subunit ribosomal RNA", at positions 509 to 807 of the family's 1533-position model. The record is from RNAcentral.